This 250-nucleotide ribosomal RNA is filed under the name uncultured bacterium. RNAcentral describes it as "partial 16S ribosomal RNA". It matches the Rfam family "Bacterial small subunit ribosomal RNA", at positions 524 to 773 of the family's 1533-position model. The record is from RNAcentral.
UACGUAGGGUGCGAGCGUUAAUCGGAAUUACUGGGCGUAAAGCGUGCGCAGGCGGUUUCGUAAGCUGGAGGUGAAAUCCCCGGGCUUAACCUGGGAAUGGCCUUCAGGACUGCGAGGCUAGAGUGCGGCAGAGGGAGAUGGAAUUCCACGUGUAGCAGUGAAAUGCGUAGAGAUGUGGAGGAACACCGAUGGCGAAGGCAGCCCCCUGGGUCGAUACUGACGCUCAUGCACGAAAGCGUGGGGAGCAAAC